Molecule: ribosomal RNA, 240 nt
Filed under: uncultured bacterium
Lineage: Bacteria
Description: partial 16S ribosomal RNA
Rfam family: Bacterial small subunit ribosomal RNA
Source: RNAcentral
AGCGUUGCUCGGAAUUACUGGGCGUAAAGGGCGCGUAGGCGGGAUGGCAAGUCGGUCGUGAAAUCCCUCGGCUCAACCGAGGAACGUCGAUCGAUACUGCUGUUCUUGAGGAUUGCAGAGGAGACUGGAAUUCCCGGUGUAGCGGUGAAAUGUGUAGAGAUCGGGAGGAACACCGGUGGCGAAGGCGGGUCUCUGGGCAAUUCCUGACGCUGAGGCGCGAAAGCGUGGGGAGCAAACGGG